Long non-coding RNA from Pomacea canaliculata, 1186 nucleotides. RefSeq lists it as uncharacterized. Lineage: Eukaryota; Metazoa; Mollusca; Gastropoda; Architaenioglossa; Ampullariidae. The record is from RefSeq and is a predicted model, not a curated record. The transcript is spliced from 3 exons.
UAUUUUCGCUUCAUAACUACCGCCCCUGGACCCGGUUGCAUUGCUCGGGCGUAGCUAGUCCCCUGCUAGUCCCGACUAAACCCCCUUAUACCCGACUAGCUAGUCUCCUCACUUACGCCGGUUGCACUGCUCUGGACUAGCCUCGCGACUAGCCACGUCCGAACUAGUAACUACGGACUAAGGGUUUUACAAAAACCUUCACGGGUUUCCACCGCGAAACGAAAUUUUCACGCGGGAGAUCACUCUAAUCUCGAAAAUGUCAGAUGCAAAAGUGAAAGACAAAUUGAAAAAUAAAACGUCUAUGGAUUAAUAGUGACAGUCGCUGCAAAUCAGACGUUGCUCUUGUCAAAAUUUCGAACGGACUGCAACUAAAAGAAGCAGCGGAAAGAUGUGGCGAGGACGGUAUGUGCCCAGUCGUCGGCAGAACGAUCAAUGCAUGAGGCAAUGAAGAAAUGCUCCGCGAGUGAUAAACAAUGUCCACAAUUCAACAGCAAGCGAGGAAUGUAAUGUUACUGCUCUCUCCCCCUAUUGAAAUGAGCUCAGGACUAUUCAAUGACAGUUCAAGUGCUCCCUCUCUACUUUAUUCAGGUGAUAAUGAAAAUUGUUCAGUUGAAAAGGUGAAUCCAGGUACAAACAUAAUUGUAGUUCAUGUAAUCUGUUUUUUGCAUAUUGUGUAUUAUAAAUGAAAUAUUUUUCAGUAUGCAAUCGUGUAAUUGCCAUCUCAGACAUGUCCCACAGUUUGUUGGGAUGUCGCCAGUUUCAGUAACCAUAUGCUUUUAUAUGAAUGAAUUGUUAGUCCAUUGCCCAACCCCUUUAACCUAGAGGACCAGUGAACCACUUUUGAUCUCUCCAAAAUGGGUGACCAUGCCAGGAGCUAGUGCUCCUGUCGGCAUAUUUCUGGGGGUCAUUGAGACAAGCAUACCACUUGACCAUGGCAAAGGGGUGGUCCAACAGAGGGAAAAAAAACAUGUGCACACUAAAAUCUGUAAUAUACACCUGUAAACGCUAAGAACUACAGUAUUUACAUGUAGGCUCGAAAACCUACAAUGUGUGCAUACUGAGCCACACAGAUAUUUAAAACUAAGACAAAACUAUUUUCAUUGAAAAAAGCUCUUUUACUGAAAAAAAAAAAAAAUAUAAAAAGAGAAAAUUGCUUGAAUUAUCUGGCUUCAUACAAAUUUAAACC